CUUCCAAAUCGACGAUCGGCUCCG
Molecule: microRNA, 24 nt
Filed under: Ananas comosus (pineapple)
Lineage: Eukaryota; Viridiplantae; Streptophyta; Magnoliopsida; Poales; Bromeliaceae
Description: microRNA s1293_c032b
Source: RNAcentral